AUGAACUUCCUUAUAAAGAAGAGAUGUUAUGGCCACAACGGUCCCGUAUCACGUGGCUCAAGGAGAGCGAACACAAAAUACUUCCAGAGCAAGUCGGUUUGGAGAGCUAGGAAAAAAAUUCGGGAGCUUCUAGACAAUGAUGGUAAUGUAUUCACAUACACUGGAACUAUGUGUAACAUGGCCACUUCUUAUUUUAAAAACAUCUUCAUAGCUGAUCCAUCAUUAAAUGCCUCAGCGCUUGUGGACCUCUUUCAUGCGGUAAUAACACAUGAUGAAAAUGACAAACUAUGUGCUGACUUCUCCGAUCAGGAGAUAUCUGAUGCUCUUUUCCAGAUAGGAUCUUUGAAGGCACCAGGGUCAGAUGGGUUCCCGGCGAGAUUUUUUUAA
RNAcentral lists this ribosomal RNA (387 nucleotides) under Triticum aestivum (bread wheat). RNAcentral's name for it is "partial small subunit ribosomal RNA". Lineage: Eukaryota; Viridiplantae; Streptophyta; Magnoliopsida; Poales; Poaceae. The record is from RNAcentral.